CCUGAGAAACCCAAAAGAUCGAAUGGGGAGAUUCAUCGUCAGCGGCUUUGGCUUCCGUGCGGUGCGCGAUGGCGGGGACCUCGGUCUCGCGUCACGCCGCCGCUGCGGCAUGUCCGGAGUCGUCGGCGUGCACUUCUCCCCUAGUAGGACGUCGCGACCCGUUGGGUGUCGGAUCGAUGGCCGUACGGUCGUCUGUUGGGCGCUCGCGCGCCCUUCAGACCGUUUCGGUCGAAAGUCCGGCUGCCCGGCGGUAUUGAACGAUAUGAACUGGUAUCGGGCCGCAUCGAAUGCGUUCAGGCUCGUCGGCAGGCUCGUCUCGCUCGGAUUUACGGACCUAGCGCCGUUGCCGGGCGCUUGGCGCGGCUGUUAGUCGACGAUGUCCUCGGACUGGCUCUUACCCGUCGGCGACGCUACUGCUUUGGGUACUUUC
This 430-nucleotide ribosomal RNA is filed under the name Pnigalio sp. 1 RDB-1999. Its description in RNAcentral is "eukaryotic LSU rRNA". The record is from RNAcentral. RNAcentral also lists the same sequence under 1 other name. Lineage: Eukaryota; Metazoa; Arthropoda; Insecta; Hymenoptera; Eulophidae.